CCGGGAAAACAAGCCCAGAAGGCGGCGGACACUCGCAUAAAGUCACGCAGUAGUACUCGGAGCCCGGGGUAGAACCUGGACUUCAAAUCUCUGCACUCCCGGCCGGGUGGUGGGCGCAUAUCCUGGGUAGCCUCUAGGAAGCGCUAGACACAUGCUAUGUGGGGCUCUGGCUCCUUUCUGUCUGCCUGGCUGCUAUACUGCUAUUUGUCUGAUCCUUAUGUUGUUCAACAAUCCUUCUACAAGGAUCUUCUGAUAAGAUAGGCUCAACCAACCUCGUUAGCCAGACUGGUCUGCCCAGCUCCUGUCUUCACAGUGGCUCCUCACUUCCCCAUUCCUCUCUGCCCCUGCCUUCUAUGUGGUAAUUCCCUUUUUAAAACAAUAAUUAAAAAUGAAAAAGAGAGUGGUG
RNAcentral lists this long non-coding RNA (406 nucleotides) under Homo sapiens (human). RNAcentral's name for it is "HSALNT0292504". The record is from RNAcentral. Lineage: Eukaryota; Metazoa; Chordata; Mammalia; Primates; Hominidae.